Long non-coding RNA from Hippocampus comes (tiger tail seahorse), 118 nucleotides. RefSeq lists it as uncharacterized. The record is from RefSeq and is a predicted model, not a curated record. Lineage: Eukaryota; Metazoa; Chordata; Actinopteri; Syngnathiformes; Syngnathidae. The transcript has 2 exons.
UACAGUAAACAUAUACAUGUAGUACUGUAUAUACUGUAUAUGUUGUUCUGUGUGACUCGGUGUUGUUUUGAUGACUCUCGCUGCUUCUUGCGGACCGUUUGCAGACUUUUUGCAGACU